This 585-nucleotide ribosomal RNA is filed under the name uncultured bacterium. RNAcentral describes it as "partial 16S ribosomal RNA". It matches the Rfam family "Bacterial small subunit ribosomal RNA", at positions 355 to 1375 of the family's 1533-position model. The record is from RNAcentral.
UGGGGAAUUUUGGACAAUGGGCGAAAGCCUGAUCCAGCAAUGCCGCGUGUGUGAAGAAGGCCUUCGGGUUGUAAAGCACUUUUGUCCGGAAAGAAAUCCUUGGCUCUAAUACAGUCGGGGGAUGACGGUACCGGAAGAAUAAGCACCGGCUAACUACGUGCCAGCAGCCGCGGUAAUACGUAGGGUGCAAGCGUUAAUCGGAAUUACUGGGCGUAAAGCGUGCGCAGGCGGUUUGCUAAGACCGAUGUGAAAUCCCCGGGCUCAACCUGGGAACUGCAUUGGUGACUGGCAGGCUAGAGUAUGGCAGAGGGGGAUAGAAUUCCACGUGUAGCAGUGAAAUGCGUAGAGAUGUGGAGGAAUACCGAUGGCGAAGGCAGCCCCCUGGGCCAAUACUGACGCUCAUGCACGAAAGCGUGGGGAGCAAACAGGAUUAGAUACCCUGGUAGUCCACGCCCUAAACGAUGUCAACUAGUUGUUGGGGAUUCAUUUCCUUAGUAACGUAGCUAACGCGUGAAGUUGACCGCCUGGGGAGUACGGUCGCAAGAUUAAAACUCAAAUGAAUUGACGGGGUCAUAGCUGUUUCCU